CGGGUGAGUAAUACAUCGGAACGUGUCUUCUAGUGGGGGAUAACUGCCCGAAAGGGCAGCUAAUACCGCAUGAGACCUGAGGGUGAAAGCGGGGGAUCGCAAGACCUCGCGCUGGAAGAGCGGCCGAUGUCCGAUUAGCUAGUUGGUGAGGUAAGGCUCACCAAGGCGACGAUCGGUAGCUGGUCUGAGAGGACGACCAGCCACACUGGGACUGAGACACGGCCCAG
RNAcentral lists this ribosomal RNA (227 nucleotides) under uncultured bacterium. RNAcentral describes it as "partial 16S ribosomal RNA". It matches the Rfam family "Bacterial small subunit ribosomal RNA", at positions 103 to 334 of the family's 1533-position model. The record is from RNAcentral.